Molecule: long non-coding RNA, 76 nt
Organism: Amblyraja radiata (thorny skate)
Lineage: Eukaryota; Metazoa; Chordata; Chondrichthyes; Rajiformes; Rajidae
Exons: 3
Source: RefSeq, a predicted model, not a curated record
CACAGCUUGGUUUCGCAACUGCCCUGCUCAAGACUUCAAGAAAUUGCGGAGAGUUGUGGAGGUAGCCCAGUCCCUC